This 228-nucleotide ribosomal RNA is filed under the name uncultured bacterium. RNAcentral describes it as "partial 16S ribosomal RNA". It matches the Rfam family "Bacterial small subunit ribosomal RNA", at positions 524 to 751 of the family's 1533-position model. The record is from RNAcentral.
UACGAAGGGGGCUAGCGUUGCUCGGAAUCACUGGGCGUAAAGGGUGCGUAGGCGGGUCUUAAGUCAGGGGUGAAAUCCCGAGGCUCAACCUCGGAACUGCCUCUGAUACUGGCGAUCUUCGAGUCCGGGAGAGGUGAGUGGAACUCCGAGUGUAGAGGUGAAAUUCGUAGAUAUUCGGAAGAACACCAGUGGCGAAGGCGGCUCACUGGCCCGGUACUGACGCUCAGG